GAAAAUCUAUAAAUAGAACCUUUUCCCCACCAUUGACAACAUCAUUGUACAUACCACUUUCUACUCAUUCUUAGGCUUUCUUUUAGAGUUCUUUUUAUAGAAGUUCAUGAGGAAGUGAAGUUGGCAAAUGGUGUGCAAAAAUAUGAUUUUGUAACAUCAUUUAGAACCAAAAGCAUCCAAUCUUUGGAUGGAUGACUAAUGCUCCAAAACUUGGCUAUGGUGUAACACUUCUUCUCUUUAUGGUAAUUCUGAUUUUAUUAUUCAAGUUAUGUGUUUCUACUCUAUUAUUUCAUUUUAUCUACUCUUAAUGCUUAUUUUAGCUUGAUCACCUAAAAUAUGUUUUCAAAGAUUCAAAAGUCUUUUGUUGGAUGAAAUAACAAAUAUGCUCACGCUUCAAUGGUAGACUUGAAUAUUUUUCAUUUCCAAGCAUCCAUUUCAAGCAACUUGUUUUCAAGAUUAUCAACAUUUGGAAAUCCGGAAUAGGUGGUAACAUCCUUAUUUAUUUUAGAGGAUAUUUGAUUGGUGAUAAUAUACUAAGCAAGAAUUGAAAAUCGUCUUACUUGAUCCAAGAGGAAGGGUGAGUUAAGAAAUGGUGUAUGGUGGAUGGAAUCACACCAAAAUUACUUGUUUACAUUAUCAUUACUUAAAAG
RNAcentral lists this long non-coding RNA (650 nucleotides) under Lupinus angustifolius (narrow-leaved blue lupine). Its description in RNAcentral is "long non-coding RNA (LANG_LNC000247)". The record is from RNAcentral. Lineage: Eukaryota; Viridiplantae; Streptophyta; Magnoliopsida; Fabales; Fabaceae.